GACGAACGCUGGCGGCGUGCUUAACACAUGCAAGUCGAACGGAAAGGCCCUGCUUUUGUGGGGUGCUCGAGUGGCGAACGGGUGAGUAACACGUGAGUAACCUGCCCUUGACUUUGGGAUAACUUCAGGAAACUGGGGCUAAUACCGGAUAGGAGCUCCUGCUGCAUGGUGGGGGUUGGAAAGUUUCGGCGGUUGGGGAUGGACUCGCGGCUUAUCAGCUUGUUGGUGGGGUAGUGGCUUACCAAGGCUUUGACGGGUAGCCGGCCUGAGAGGGUGACCGGCCACAUUGGGACUGAGAUACGGCCCAGACUCCUACGGGAGGCAGCAGUGGGGAAUAUUGCACAAUGGGCGGAAGCCUGAUGCAACAACGCCGCGUGCGGGAUGACGGCCUUCGGGUUGGAAACCGCUUUCGCCUGUGACGAAGCGUGAGUGACGGUAAUGGGUAAAGAAGCACCGGCUAACUACGUGC
Molecule: ribosomal RNA, 469 nt
Filed under: uncultured bacterium
Lineage: Bacteria
Description: partial 16S ribosomal RNA
Rfam family: Bacterial small subunit ribosomal RNA
Source: RNAcentral